This 598-nucleotide ribosomal RNA is filed under the name uncultured bacterium. RNAcentral describes it as "bacterial SSU rRNA". It matches the Rfam family "Bacterial small subunit ribosomal RNA", at positions 57 to 650 of the family's 1533-position model. The record is from RNAcentral.
GCAAGUCGAGCGGUAGAGAGGUGCUUGCACCUCUUGAGAGCGGCGGACGGGCGAGUAAAGCCUAGGAAUCUGCCUGGUAGUGGGGGAUAACGCUCUGAAACGGACGCUAAUACCGCAUACGUCCUACGGGAGAAAGCAGGGGACCUUCGGGCCUUGCGCUAUCAGAUGAGCCUAGGUCGGAUUAGCUAGUUGGUGAGGUAAUGGCUCACCAAGGCGACGAUCCGUAACUGGUCCGAGAGGAUGAUCAGUCACACUGGAACUGAGACACGGUCCAGACUCCUACGGGAGGCAGCAGUGGGGAAUAUUGGACAAUGGGCGAAAGCCUGAUCCAGCCAUGCCGCGUGUGUGAAGAAGGUCUUCGGAUUGUAAAGCACUUUAAGUUGGGAGGAAGGGCAUUAACCUAAUACGUUAGUGUUUUGACGUUACCGACAGAAUAAGCACCGGCUAACUCUGUGCCAGCAGCCGCGGUAAUACAGAGGGUGCAAGCGUUAAUCGGAAUUACUGGGCGUAAAGCGCGCGUAGGUGGUUCGUUAAGUUGGAUGUGAAAUCCCCGGGCUCAACCUGGGAACUGCAUUCAAAACUGUCGAGCUAGAGUAUG